AGUGAACGCUGGCGGUAGGCCUAACACAUGCAAGUCGAACGGCAGCACAGUAAGAGCUUGCUCUUACGGGUGGCGAGUGGCGGACGGGUGAGGAAUACAUCGGAAUCUACUUUUUCGUGGGGGAUAACGUAGGGAAACUUACGCUAAUACCGCAUACGACCUACGGGUGAAAGCAGGGGAUCUUCGGACCUUGCGCGAUUGAAUGAGCCGAUGUCGGAUUAGCUAGUUGGCGGGGUAAGGGCCCACCAAGGCGACGAUCCGUAGCUGGUCUGAGAGGAUGAUCAGCCACACUGGAACAGAGGCACGGUCCAGACUCCUACGGGAGGCAGCAGUGGGGAAUAUUGGACAAUGGGCGCAAGCCUGAUCCAGCCAUACCGCGUGGGUGAGGAAGGCCUUCGGGUUGUAAAGCCCUUUUAUUAGGAAAGAAAAGCAGCAGGUUAAUACCCCGCUGUUCUGACGGUACCCAAAGAAUAAGCACCGGCUAACUUCGUG
RNAcentral lists this ribosomal RNA (492 nucleotides) under uncultured bacterium. RNAcentral's name for it is "partial 16S ribosomal RNA". It matches the Rfam family "Bacterial small subunit ribosomal RNA", at positions 29 to 507 of the family's 1533-position model. The record is from RNAcentral.